GUCGAACGCGUGUAGCAAUACACGAGUGGCGAAAGGGCGAGGAAUAGAUUCCUACGUACCCCGGAGUCAGGGAUAACCAUCGGAAACGGUGGCUAACACCUGAUGAUCUCGAAAGAGCAAAGUUUACGCUCUGGGAGCGGGGAAUCUCCUAUCAGGUAGUUGGUGAGGUAAUGGCUCACCAAGCCUUAGACGGGUAGCGGGUGUGAGAGCACGGCCCGCCGCAUCGGGACUGAGACACUGCCCGGACUCCUACGGGAGGCUGCAGUAACGAAUCUUCCGCAAUGCACGAAAGUGUGACGGGGCAAUGCCGCGUGUGGGAUGAAGCCCCUCGGGGUGUAAACCACUGUCAGGGUCUAGGAACACAAUGACCAUACCCAAAGGAAGCACCGGCUAACUCUGUGCCAGCAGCCGCGGUAAUACAGAGGGUGCGAGCGUUAAUCGGAAUUACUGGGCUUAAAGGGUCCGUAGGCUGGGCUGUAGGCGUCGAGUGAAAUACCACGGCUCAACCGUGGAACUGCUCGGCGAACCACAGCUCUUGAGGCGAGCAGAGGCGAUCAGAACGAUAGGUGGAGCGGUGAAAUGCGUAGAUAUCUAUCGGAAUGCCGAAGGUGAAGACAGGUCGCUGGGCUCGUCCUGACGCUGAGGGACGAAAGCGUGGGGAGCAAACGGGAUUAGAUACCCCGGUAGUCCACGCCGUAAACAAUGCGCACUGGGUCGGAGGGGUUUGACGCCUUUCUGGCCGAAGCAAAAGUGUUAAGUGCGCCGCCUGGGGAGUACGGUCGCAAGGCUAAAACUCAAAGGAAUUGACGGGGGCUCACAC
RNAcentral lists this ribosomal RNA (820 nucleotides) under uncultured organism. Its description in RNAcentral is "bacterial SSU rRNA". It matches the Rfam family "Bacterial small subunit ribosomal RNA", at positions 61 to 926 of the family's 1533-position model. The record is from RNAcentral.